This 305-nucleotide ribosomal RNA is filed under the name uncultured bacterium. RNAcentral's name for it is "bacterial SSU rRNA". It matches the Rfam family "Bacterial small subunit ribosomal RNA", at positions 333 to 635 of the family's 1533-position model. The record is from RNAcentral.
UGCGGCCUACGGGGGGCAGCAGUGAGGAAUAUUGGUCAAUGGGCGGAAGCCUGAACCAGCCAAGUCGCGUGAGGGAAUAAGGCCCUACGGGUCGUAAACCUCUUUUGCCGGGGAGCAAGGGCCGGGACGCGUCCCGGCCCGGAGAGUACCCGGAGAAAAAGCAUCGGCUAACUCCGUGCCAGCAGCCGCGGUAAUACGGAGGAUGCGAGCGUUAUCCGGAUUUAUCGGGUUUAAAGGGUGCGUAGGCGGGGUUUUAAGUCAGCGGUAAAAAUUCGGGGCUCAACCCCGUCCGGCCGAUGAAACUG